RNAcentral lists this ribosomal RNA (497 nucleotides) under uncultured bacterium. RNAcentral describes it as "bacterial SSU rRNA". It matches the Rfam family "Bacterial small subunit ribosomal RNA", at positions 903 to 1397 of the family's 1533-position model. The record is from RNAcentral.
AAAUGAAUUGACGGGGACCCGCACAAGCAGCGGAGCAUGUGGUUUAAUUCGAAGAUACCCGAAAAACCUUACCAAGGCUUGACAUUCUGGCGCAUAGCCGCGAAAUCGGUGAAAGAGUAGCAAUAUUUCGCCAGAACAGAUGGUGCAUGGUUGUCGUCAGCUCGUGUCGUGAGAUGUUCGGUUAAGUCCGAUAACGAGCGCAACCCUUGUCGUUAGUUGCCAUCAUUAAGUUGGGAACCCUAGCGAGACCGCCGUAGAUAAUAUGGAGGAAGGCGGGGAUGACGUCAAAUCAUCAUGCCUCUUACGCCUUGGGCUACACACGUGCUACAAUGGCCACUACAAAGAGCAGCAAUAUAGUAAUAUGGAGCGAAUCUCAAAAAAGUGGUCCCAAUUCGGAUUGAGGGCUGCAACCCGCCCUCAUGAAAUCGGAGUUGCUAGUAAUCCCAAAUCAGCAUGUUGGGGUGAAUGCGUUCCCGGGUCUUGUACACACCGCCCGU